Molecule: ribosomal RNA, 253 nt
Filed under: uncultured bacterium
Lineage: Bacteria
Description: partial 16S ribosomal RNA
Rfam family: Bacterial small subunit ribosomal RNA
Source: RNAcentral
UACGGAGGGUGCGAGCGUUGUCCGGAAUCAUUGGGCGUAAAGCGCGUGUAGGCGGCCAGGUAAGUCCGUUCUGAAAGCCCGGGGCUCAACCCCGGGAGGCGGAUGGAUACUGCUUGGCUCGAGUCCGGAAGAGGCGAGUGGAAUUCCCGGUGUAGCGGUGAAAUGCGCAGAUAUCGGGAGGAACACCUGUGGCGAAAGCGGCGCACUGGACCAUUUCUGACGCUGAGGCGCGAAAGCUAGGGGAGCAAACAGG